UCCUGUUCAAUGUCAAAAAUGAACAGCAUUUAGCACAGCAAACCUCAGUUACUACGAUCCAUCACAGAGUCUCACAUUCACUACUCCGCUGUCUCUUGGCAGUAAGAACAGCAUUACAGGCAUGUCGAAAAAUUCAAGAGGCUUCAGCAAAUUUCAUGCAUUCUAGCAGUAAUAUCUGUAAGGGCUUACUUAGUUUGUGGCACAGCGUAGCCAUUUCUACUAAUGUUUUGUUAACUCAGAAAGGAAAAAAAACCUCUCAAAAUCCACAUUUUCAGAAAAAAACAGCUUUUUUAAACAAAAUUAUGAGUUCAUAGUGAACUUCUGUUUAUUUAUUGACAGUUUUUCUUCUGCCUUGAAACGUGGCUAAUUGGCCUGUAACAGCUAUCCCAUAUGAUUAAAGGAACUGUAUCUCCAGGCUUUCAAAGCAGAACUCAAUCUUUAUUGUUCCAGCCACUCCUUCACAGAGUAAUUAAGAAUUUCCUGUUUGGUGCUGGCAGGAGGGUGCGGCCUCCCUGUACCACUGACGUCAAUUCCUAAAAGCAGAGUUUAGCCUGCGUGACACACCCACAGGAUGUCUGAAGUUGGCUCUCCACCUUCAUAAACAUCACUUUUUGCUUUGAAGCCCACAGGUAGGAGGCAGGUAAGAUGCGGGGUGAGGGAAUACAGACCUCUACUAAAAAUAAACAUUAACUUCUCUGAAAACACACCAAGAUUCCUAAAAAACGUCAUAAACCCAUAAACUAGUGAUAUUUAGGUUUCAACAACAAGCUGACUGCAGAAUUGGGCAGAAUCUUGAUUCUUUCUUCCACGCUAAUGCUAGAAAAGGAGGUAUGUCAGUCAGAACUGCAAGCAGCAUUACAAAACUUGUAAUCUCACAAAGCUGCAUCUUCCAGCCAAUCACCAGAUCUAUAUUGAUACUUCUAAUGUAUUUUAUAGCCUGUAGCUGAAACUUAAUACAUAAUGUACAGAUAUUGGUGCUCCUUGUGGUAAGACCGACUCCUCCAUUUGAUAGAGAGAAGCUUUCUACACUUCCACUCCUUUCUCUGUGAUUGUAUUUCAAAUUUCCUUACCAACUGAUUUGUAUUAAAAACCACUAUCUGAGGAGUACUUGAUACUUCAACCAAGUUCUACUAGGGCUUGUUUUUCAGAAACACUGAAUGAUUGCUUCUGAUAGCAAAGCCAUAGGCAUGUACUAGGGGUCCUUUGGUAGAAGAUAAAAAAGACAUCAUGCACAGCAAAGAAAAUUCUGUGCAACGAGAAAAGCAGUUUCUAUUAAUCUCCACAGCAGCAAGUUGGAAACUACUGAUGUUGGAAAAGUUUCACUCUAGUAUUCCUCCAUUAUUAGUGCUACCAGCUUCAGACUGGGAGCCAAACUCUGCUCCUUGGGUGUUUCUGCAACUGCUGACUGAUGUACUCUUCAAGUACACAAUAAAUCCAGCUAAAAAUACUGCAAUGGCAGGAAACCCCAGGCAGUGAUUUUAGACAUGGAUGUACAUUCUCUUAAAUAAGAAAGGCAGGUUUUGAGCUUCUAAAGACAAGCCUCUCUAAAGCAAUGCUCAGUUUUACUGCUGCUGCACAGCAGUCCUUCUGGAUAAUCUGUGGCUUAGCACAGCAAGCAGACUUGGUUUUGGACAUGGUAACAGCUGGAAAAAUGGAGCAAAAGGCACUGACUGUAUGUUGUUUGUGUUCAUGACCUAAGAGUACAUAAAUAAAAUGGUGAAUAUCCAUCUCUGUCUCAUUUUCCUUUUGGAGGAAAGGAGGCUGCCAAGACUACAGAAUGUUAACAAUCUUCAGAUGGGGAGACGGGCACUUAGAAAAAAGUGAGUAAGAUGGCGUCAAAAAUCAGAGGUAAAAACUAAACAAGUGCCAAUAAUAAACCACAGCCCCUUCUUCCAUUUCUUUUUAUGCAAGACAGAAAUCCAUGCAAUUCCCAUCAGCAUACUUUGGACAGCUGGAACCCAAGAAAAAUGGUAAGAAACUGUAUAACUGCAUCCCAUAAUGCAGAGAGAUGCUGAUGAAGCUGUGAGACAACAAGAAAUUUUACAGAUGUUCAAGUCUCACCUUUUAACUCAUUUGAACAAAAAGCUGAGAACUACCAUCUACAACUGCUGUACGUGCUGCAGAAUUGGAACUCAAAAGAGCUGAGCAAGAACUGCAGCUCUGCAGACAGCUGGGACAACGGAAGUCAUUGCAACAUAAGGAAUGUCUCCAUAAGCAGACUCUGUGUCUCUGCAUUGUCAAGCAGAGAUGAUGCUUUGGAACAACGUGACAGAUUAAGUACCAAUGCUGCCCACACUUUGUAUUGAAUGUUAUAUUCUUUGCUCAGCGGAUGGAUUUCCUGUGGAAACUGGACUCACUGGGAAUUAAUUAAUGCAAAUCACUAAUGCAGGUGACAAGUCUACAGAAGUCUCAGCCCCAGAGGAAGGGCGUGUUAUAAGCCAGGAACAGCCCUUGUUCAAGAGGCCUAACAAGAGACAAAGGUGAAGCACAGCACUUGGUUGCCCUGAUCCCACUGAAGUUAGAUCUGAAUACAGACAGACCUGGCUGCUGUGUGUGUUGAGUCCUUGCAGAAGGUACAUAUCCAACUGGUAAACAUGGAUACUUAAUAUUUUCUCAUAAUAGAACAUGCAAGCUUACUUCUAAAUAAACAGCAUGCUGUCCUACAAAAGCUAACUGGCAAUCAGUUCACUGCACCCAAAAAGCCACACCAGUAGCCAGCGUGCAAGCCCAAAGCGCUGCCUGCUGAAGGGUGAGCCAGGACCUGGACAGUCCCACAGUUUUGCUAAGCUGGUAGAAUUCUCUGAAGGGAAACAGUAGCUGGAAACACAGCCAUGGUCCAUCAGGUACUGCCUAAGAAUUUUUUAAUGUUUCCAUCAAAAAGUUUUUGUCCUAGGCUUCAUUUCUUCUGCCUAGCCCUUGCUCUGCCUUCUGCUGUUUUAAACCUGGGCAGAUUUGCAGUGGUCUCAGUAAUUGCUGUAUCAGUACUUGUCCGGAAACAAGAGGCUGAGGGGGAAGACAGAGCUGCUGGAACUGCUUAAACUGUGAAUCCCUAAGCAGUGGCUUCAGGUAAAUGUGGAACUUCAAUGGAUAUAAAAGAACUUGUAGGCCUGAGGGGUUUCUUUCCACUGAGUUGCCAAUGUUUUUUAAAAGACUAAGUGGUCCACUAAGAAAGUCACAGGAAUAUUUUUAAAGAAGGGUAUUAAGGUAAUAUAAAUACAGAGAUCAAUAUUAAAUGUCUUCAAAGUAUUUUUCUAGUUUGCUGCUGGUUUUACAUAAAGAUAUCACUACCUCAUUGCAGUUCCACUUCCAGUGAAUGGUAGCAUUGGAACCAGCAUUACUUUAGAAAUGUGGUUGCUAUGUAGAAAUACACACCUAUGUCUGUACGAUGGAGAAGAACAAAAGUUGAAAUUGCAUCUCACAGUGGCAGCUCGGGAGAAAGGCUUUCUGGAUUUUAUCUAUCUUGUUCCUUAAACUUAGUUAAAUACUGCACUGAACUGCCUUUUGUUCCUUUGUUGAUCUGGGAACUACUGUUAAGUUACUUACUCUUGCAGCAUUACUUCCUGGGGAGACAAUGAGGUCAUUGGAGGUGACAUUCGUUCAGGAUAGAAGUCAGUCUUUGCUGGUUCACUUCCCGGUUCUACUUUAAUUGUUUUCUUCAGUGCUGGCUUCUCGAAGGACUCAAUAACAGGCACUGUGUGGGGGAAGGUCAGAGAUGGAAGACAACGUAUCAAGAAUAUGGAGAGUCACAUAAAUAAAUAAAAGAUACACCUAAGAAUCUGUAGUUAAUACUAAAACUGGAAGGUUUUGUAUUACUGUCCCUAUGAACCGUGAUGAAAAGAACUUGAACUCUCUUUUUCAUCAGUUCAAAUCUCAGCAGAUCUACUGAUAAACAACUUUUUACGUAGGCUUAAAGUAGAACAGAAUGCAACCUCGUUAAGUUUUGUGAAAUAUUUACAUAGUAAAUUAUAUGUUUGAGUAUUUUAGAAGAUGGAUAUAUAGUAAUUUUCCCAGCAUGAGAGGACAACAAACACAACUCUGACAGCACCAACCUUGCAUGCUGCUUGGACUAUCCAUCUCAUCUGUAAGGACUGUGGACACCAUGAUGGGCUGCUGGAGAUGGGGAGCAUACAUGAAAGGAACUGGCUGGACAACAACAGGCUGAAUGACCGGGAGUAUUCCUGGGCUUCUCAGUCCAUGGCGAGAAAGAGCAGCAGCCAUUACAGGAGGGAUUGUUAUAGGCAUGGAUAGCGGCUGUACUCCUGGGGGUGACGGUGUGAAUUUACUGAUGGGAGAGCUGGGUGAGGACAGAGUCAAUCCAGGGGAGGUUCUCCUAUGCACAGUCUGAAAUUUUAAAGGGGAGGGAGAACUGCCAGCUGAAGGUGGUGAGCUUCGCUUGUUCACCGUAAGGUCUACUGGCUCCAUCUGAAUUCCAUUCGACAGUCCAUCAGGGUUCGAGUAGAAUUUAUUGUGCAACAUGCUUGGUGCAGAAUAAAUGACGCUGUAUUUGUUUGGC
This is a non-coding RNA of Coturnix japonica (Japanese quail), 4513 nucleotides long. NCBI's taxonomy places the organism in Eukaryota, Metazoa, Chordata, Aves, Galliformes, Phasianidae. The record is from RefSeq and is a predicted model, not a curated record.